This 120-nucleotide non-coding RNA is filed under the name human gut metagenome. Its description in RNAcentral is "yjdF RNA". It matches the Rfam family "azaaromatic riboswitch aptamer (yjdF RNA)". The record is from RNAcentral.
AUUGCAGGAUAAAAACGCAAUGCACAUCGUAUGAUGUGUUAGAGCUGGUAGGUAGCCCAGCCGUCUGAAAAACAUUCAGGUAAGUAACCUGCCCUCCGGGUUGUCCGUUCUUGCAAAAUA